Molecule: non-coding RNA, 26 nt
Filed under: Mus musculus (house mouse)
Lineage: Eukaryota; Metazoa; Chordata; Mammalia; Rodentia; Muridae
Source: RNAcentral
UAAUGUCAUCUGUAGCCUAUGUGUCA